RNAcentral lists this ribosomal RNA (253 nucleotides) under uncultured bacterium. RNAcentral's name for it is "partial 16S ribosomal RNA". It matches the Rfam family "Bacterial small subunit ribosomal RNA", at positions 524 to 776 of the family's 1533-position model. The record is from RNAcentral.
CACGUAGGGCGCAAGCGUUGUCCGGAAUUAUUGGGCGUAAAGAGCUCGUAGGCGGACUGUCACGUCUGCUGUGAAAAGCUAGGGCUUAACCCUGGCCUUGCAGUGGAUACGGGCAGACUAGAGGUAGGUAGGGGAGAAUGGAAUUCCCGGUGUAGCGGUGAAAUGCGCAGAUAUCGGGAGGAACACCGGUGGCGAAGGCGGCUUCCUGGACCGACACUGACGCUGAGGCGCGAAAGCUAGGGGAGCAAACGGG